Long non-coding RNA from Musa acuminata AAA Group (dessert banana), 2049 nucleotides. RefSeq lists it as uncharacterized. The record is from RefSeq and is a predicted model, not a curated record. NCBI's taxonomy places the organism in Eukaryota, Viridiplantae, Streptophyta, Magnoliopsida, Zingiberales, Musaceae. The transcript has 3 exons.
UUACAUUGCAUGCAUCUCAUGUCCACUUAGUUCCCAACAGCCCACCUUUUUUGACCUUGGAUCUCACACCUCUCUCUCUCUCUCUCUCUCUCUCUCUCUCAGUGUGAUAUAUAGACAAAUAGUUUGCUUUAAGGAAGAAGGGGAUAUAGCUUUGCUUGCCUGCAUGGAUUCCUGGUGGGUUCUUCUAGUCCACAAAAUUGAAGGCCGAGUGGGUGGGAGGCAUUUUUGUACUGCUGCUUCCUUUCUCUCUGUUGAUCAAAUCCAGUGUUCUGCUCCUUCUUCUCUUGUUGUAGCUCUCACGAGGAACGCAGCUUCACUUGGUUGUCGGACGUUCUCUGCAUAGGUGACCUGAAAGGGUAAGCAAACAUAGGAAGAUGAUCUGACGUGCUAUAUACUCUUAUGGUUUCUUAGGGUUUCCAGCGGCUGAUGCUUCUUCGGACUCGACUUUGAUGUUACCAGCAUUCUUUUUAGUGACAAAGGAAGCUGCCAAAUUGUCGAGCUGAGAUAAGGUUUGGAUGAUGCAUGCUAGAAUUCCGUAGGAACUGAUCUGCUUCAAAGACCAUCGAAUGCUUUAGUUGUAUGCUUGUGUCUAGCUUUGCCUUGAUCCAUACCCUGCACAUCAGUAGAUGCAGAACAGGUAUGACAUCCUACCAUCAUUACUACAACUUUAGUGUUACAGACAAAGCCUAGUUUUCCUGGAGUUCUUAUGGAUUCAGUACAUAGAGCAUCAUCCACAGCUAGCCUUGAAGUCAUGCUAUCUAUAUAAACUGGACUAUUCACUGGAUGAACAAAAGCUUCAUGGUACGUACCUGACAACAUGGUUAGUAUUGCUAAUUCGUCCUUUUACCGUCACAAAUUUAUCUGUUUUAUGUUCUAAAUUAUGAUGAUGAUAGUUGUUCUGUAAGUGUUGGUGUUAUGGUCUGUAACACUCUUUAUCUGCAAAAAAGCUGUGUUGCUCUUAUCGUCAUCGAUACGUACAUAAACUGGAAAAAGGCAAACAAAACUAUUCUGACUAGAAUUCCUUUACGUGUAGCUUUUCAUGUUUGUGUUUGUAUUCGAUGCAAUGACAUGCAGAACUGAAGCACGAAGCUUCCUCGUUCCAUGAAACGAUUAAUGGAUUGCUCUUUCAAUAGCUUUAAAACCGGUUCAUGUUCUUUCUCUUCACGUCUGACAUUUGGUUUUAAGGUAACGGAUGCUGUACGCAGAAGCUCCUAAGUUAUAUCGAAAGAUGGCACUAAACAUAAGAAAAAUAGAUGGAAUGGAUAGUGUGCGAUUGAUUUCAUAUUGGUUGUACAUAUUCUACAAAAUGACUUUGAUCGUUUGAGCCUCAGCAGGCGGCUUCCUGCGGUGCAAAUGUCAUGCAUCGUAGUUAAUUUUCUGAUGAAGCAAAUAACAUCAUGGCACACAUUCAUAUUAGUAGUCUUUGCUUCAUUCAUAAGUAGGAAUAUCUAGAACAACAGCCGCAUCGCAAUCGUCUAGUACCUUAUGUACACAACGAUAAUCAUCACUCGCACAUAUAUGAUUCAUAUCGUGCUGGCUACAUAGGAGAAUUCAUGUUUCAUUUCCACGGAUACAUUUGGCAGCUCGAUGUGGAUGUCGACGGGAACUCCAUGGCAACUUCUUGUUCAUCGGCAACUUGAAGAAGGUCGUCUUCAUCCGAGUAGAUAGGUUUCUUUGAGCCAUCAUGGCUGAGCUGAGCUGCAACGAACUUGUCGAGAAUCCUCCAAUCCGUCACUUGGUCUGAUGCUUGGCUUACGUUUUCAUCGUUGUUGUCCGUCGUGGUUGCCUGAAGUUGGUGUCGAGGUUGCACUGCUUCAUUCUCCGAGAAGAUGAGUCGCUGUAGGGAGUCUCCGUGGUUCAGGUAGCUAAAAAUCAUGGGGGGCUCUACUGGUGGGAGCUCGUGAUCAAGAGCUUCGUGCGGCGAGCGGCUGCGGCAUGGUCCUCUUUGGGGAGUCGAUGUCUUGCAUGAAGGAACCUUGCUCAUCGUACCAUGGCAACUCAUCACUUGCCUUUCUUGCGGUUGGCACUCGUUUCUUGAACACCCUGCAC